RNAcentral lists this small RNA (954 nucleotides) under Pan troglodytes (chimpanzee). RNAcentral describes it as "processed transcript". The record is from RNAcentral. Lineage: Eukaryota; Metazoa; Chordata; Mammalia; Primates; Hominidae.
AUCCUAAUGGCCCCAGGGGAAAAUGAGGGUCUCUUCUCAUUGACCAGAAUCGAAAGCUGAGGCCAGGGAGAAGCCAGAACCUGGCCAGGGCCACACAGCAGUGAGGCAGUGGAGGAGGCCUCCUGCUCCCCAGCUCUUGUCUCCUGAGCUCUGAGUGGCUGGGGCUGGGGCUUGGUUGCCAGGAAAGUGUGGGCAGAUGGCUAGAGAGAUCCUGGAGCCUCAGGGGAGCAAGUUCAACCUUGUGGGGAGCCCUGGACCCCAGGAAAGAGGCAACAGGGUUCACACCCCAGCCGGGCCACGUGACACAGGACAUAUCAUGAGCGUCUUGUUGUUCAUCGAGCACUCGGUAGAGGUGGCCCAUGGCAAGUCGUCCUGCAAGCUCUCCCAGAUGGGCUACCUCAGGAUCGCUGACCUGAUCUCCAGCUUCCUGCUCAUCACCAUGCUCUUCAUCAUCAGCCUGAGCCUACUGAUCGGCGUAGUCAAGAACCGGGAGAAGUACCUGCUGCCCUUCCUGUCCCUGCAAAUCAUGGACUAUCUCCUGUGCCUGCUCACCCUGCUGGGCUCCUACAUUGAGCUGCCCGCCUACCUCAAGUUGGCCUCCCGGAGCCGUGCUAGCUCCUCCAAGUUCCCCCUGAUGACGCUGCAGCUGCUGGACUUCUGCCUGAGCAUCCUGACCCUCUGCAGCUCCUACAUGGAAGUGCCCACCUAUCUCAACUUCAAGUCCAUGAACCACAUGAAUUACCUCCCCAGCCAGGAGGAUAUGCCUCAUAACCAGUUCAUCAAGAUGAUGAUCAUCUUUUCCAUCGCCUUCAUCACUGUCCUUAUCUUCAAGGUCUACAUGUUCAAAUGCGUGUGGCGGUGCUACAAAUUCAUCAAGUGCAUGAACUCGGUGGAGGAGAAGAGAAACUCCAAGAUGCUCCAGAAGGUGGUCCUGCCGUCCUAUGAGGAAGCCCU